RNAcentral lists this ribosomal RNA (497 nucleotides) under uncultured bacterium. RNAcentral's name for it is "partial 16S ribosomal RNA". It matches the Rfam family "Bacterial small subunit ribosomal RNA", at positions 28 to 507 of the family's 1533-position model. The record is from RNAcentral.
GACGAACGCUGGCGGCGUGCCUAAUACAUGCAAGUUGAGCGCUGAAGGGUGGUACUUGUACCAACUGGAUGAGCAGCGAACGGGUGAGUAACGCGUGGGGAAUCUGCCUUUGAGCGGGGGACAACAUUUGGAAACGAAUGCUAAUACCGCAUAAAAACUUUAAACACAAGUUUUAAGUGUGAAAGAUGCUAUUGCAUCACUCAAUGGUGAUCCCGCGUUCGCUUAGCUAGUUGGUGAGGUAAACGCCCACCAAGGCGAUGGUUCAUAACCGACCUGAGAGGGUUGUCGGCCCACUUGGGACUUGGGACCCGCCCCAGAUCCUUCGGGGGGCAACAGUAGGGGAUUUUCGGGAAAGGGCGGAAGUCUUGACGGGCAACGCCGCGGGAGGUAAGAAGGUUUUCGGGUUGUAAAAAUCUGGUGAUAGAGAAGAACGUAGGUGGGAGUGGAAAGCUCAUCUAGUGACGGUAACUAACCAGAAAGAGACGGCUAACUACGUG